RNAcentral lists this long non-coding RNA (1506 nucleotides) under Solanum tuberosum (potato). Its description in RNAcentral is "long non-coding RNA (STUB_LNC011215)". Lineage: Eukaryota; Viridiplantae; Streptophyta; Magnoliopsida; Solanales; Solanaceae. The record is from RNAcentral.
GUAUUUGAUUAGUAAAAUAAAUGACCACAACACAAAAAGAAUAUUUAAAACAAACCAACACUAAGAAAUAACUCAUCUUUUGGGGGAUCUAAUUAAGUUAAUUAAAAUAAAUUAUAGUUAGAAUUAAAUAAAAUUAGUCAAGCAUAAGCAAAUCAAUUGAAAGAGUAAAAGAUAUUAGGAAACUGGGCCCCUUUUGGGCCAAUUUUGCUGCAAAUUCUGGAGAUUUUACUCAAUCCCGUUUUUGGUAUACAUCAGUUGUAUAUCGAUGUAUAUUGAUGUAUACGGCCCUUUUUCUGCGUUUCGGGACCUGUACGUCAACUCCAAAGACUUGUUCUUCAAUUUCUCAAGGUUGAAUGACUCGAUAAAAGAAUUUUGGGCCUUUAUGGCCCAUCCGAAAUAUGAAGUGGAGAAAGAUGGAGUCCAAGGGAACUCGGAUGGUAUCACAUGGAAACAAAGUAAAGAAAUAAAUUAGCAGGAGCAAGAAGAAUAUGGCAUUCAGGCUAUUAACAACAAUUUAUUGUUCUGGUAAAUGAAAGAUGCAAGCUGGAAUUUACGCUCUACAGUAGCGACACAUAAUGAAUUAGUUGGAUUAUUUAAAAUCACUAAGGCAAGGCAUAAAAGUAAAUACUCAAUGAGCAAGCUAAGAGUAAAACAAAUAUUUAUCUUCCACUUUAAAAGUAGACUCGCCUAAACUUGAACAUUACUCACAUUUAAGUCGAUAAAUAUUAAAUGUAUUUGCUUAUGGGGACAAGAAUUAAUUACCGAAGGGAAUUGGAAAGGACGAAAACAAUAAUGUCAUAAAAGAAAUAAAAUAGGAAAACUUAGGCCCUUAAUCACAAAUAUUCAGCUGUAUCUACAUUUAAGCUACGUCUUCACUAGACGAAGGGAGAAAUUAAUUACACUAAGAAAACAAGCUACAUUAAGCAUGUGAUUUCCUAAUGAACAAAGAAAAGGAAAAAAUCUCAAUUUUAACAUGGAAGAUAACACUCAUAAGGAAACUUUAAUAGGCUAAAUAAUAAUAGAGAAAUAUAGAUACUCAAUUUAUUAAGCAACCUUCAAACCACACGGCUAAUUGAAACUAAACCCAUAUAAUUACUAUCACAAAAAUUCGAUCAUACUAAUGAACAAAUAUUAUUGCAUCAUUUCUCAAUAUUAUAGAUAAGCUACUAUCAAAAAAUUUCACCACUAAUUAAGUGAAAACAUUCCAAGUGACAUCCAAUAAAUGCACAGUAAUGAGAAAUUGUUCUAUGGACCAAAGGAAAAGUGGAUAUAGUAAUACAACUAAGUAGAUGUUUUCGAGUUAAAAGGGUAGGAAAAUGCAUUAGAAAGGUUACAUGUAAGAUGCUCAUCAAGACCCAUUUUUAGGACAAAGCAUAGUUCAACUCCUCAACUCAAUUUAUGAACACACAUAUAAUCAGGGAACUUGAUAAGAAAAAUUAAAAGAAGUAAAACCCUGCCACAUAAGUUCAUUAAAUAAUGCUCCUGAUUUUUAAUUUAAGACUCACC